UGGCCAUGACUAAAGCAUAAUUAUUUCACCAGCGCCGGACCGAGACGGUGCUGCUGCAUGUCAUGCCAAACCUCUCA
Molecule: long non-coding RNA, 77 nt
Organism: Sinocyclocheilus grahami
Lineage: Eukaryota; Metazoa; Chordata; Actinopteri; Cypriniformes; Cyprinidae
Exons: 3
Source: RefSeq, a predicted model, not a curated record